AGUACACAUUGCUUGAACUUGGAGUUGAGGCCAUUGACUUGGCCGAUGAACUCUCAAAGUGUUGGUAGUAUGCUACACGAUGAGUAACUUUUUCACUAACACAAGGGUUUCUGGCCCGAUGAGUGGAGUUUAAUAGUAAUCAUUGCUACAAAU
RNAcentral lists this small nucleolar RNA (153 nucleotides) under Tupaia belangeri (northern tree shrew). The record is from RNAcentral. Lineage: Eukaryota; Metazoa; Chordata; Mammalia; Scandentia; Tupaiidae.